UGAGUGUGAAAGGCAAUCGCGGCGCCUGUUUCGUAAGAAAUAAGGCGGUGAGGAAAGUCCGAGCUCCAUAGGGCGGAAUGCCGGAUAACGUCCGGCGAGGGAAACCUUAGGGAUAGUGCCACAGAAAAGUGUACCGCCAGAGUAAUCUGGGAAGGGUGGAACGGUGCGGUAAGAGCGCACCAGCAAGUAAGUAAUUACUUGGCUUGGUAAACCCCAUUCGGAGUAAGACCAAAUAGGGAAGGGAUGAAGCGGCCCGCUGAACCUUCCGGGUUGUGUCGCUGUAUCUUGCGAG
Molecule: RNase P RNA, 292 nt
Filed under: Acidaminococcaceae bacterium
Lineage: Bacteria; Bacillati; Bacillota; Negativicutes; Acidaminococcales; Acidaminococcaceae
Description: partial RNase P RNA component class A
Rfam family: Bacterial RNase P class A
About the family: Ribonuclease P (RNase P) is a ubiquitous endoribonuclease, found in archaea, bacteria and eukarya as well as chloroplasts and mitochondria. Its best characterised activity is the generation of mature 5'-ends of tRNAs by cleaving the 5'-leader elements of precursor-tRNAs.
Source: RNAcentral